This 72-nucleotide transfer RNA is filed under the name Ictidomys tridecemlineatus (thirteen-lined ground squirrel). RNAcentral describes it as "Spermophilus tridecemlineatus (thirteen-lined ground squirrel) tRNA". It matches the Rfam family "tRNA". From Rfam's summary of the family: Transfer RNA (tRNA) molecules are approximately 80 nucleotides in length. Their secondary structure includes four short double-helical elements and three loops (D, anti-codon, and T loops). The record is from Rfam by way of RNAcentral. Lineage: Eukaryota; Metazoa; Chordata; Mammalia; Rodentia; Sciuridae.
GGGGUUGUAGCUCAGUGGUAGAGCGCUUGCCUAGCGUAUGUGAGGCUCUGGGUUCAAUUCCCCGGAACCACA